This 304-nucleotide long non-coding RNA is filed under the name Hordeum vulgare. Its description in RNAcentral is "long non-coding RNA (HVUL_LNC018932)". The record is from RNAcentral. Lineage: Eukaryota; Viridiplantae; Streptophyta; Magnoliopsida; Poales; Poaceae.
UCGGGGUAGUAAUGGCGCGGACGGACGGACGAAUAACCUAGAAGCGGAGCUUGGUGAAGAACCACCUGUUCUUGCCGGUCUUGAACCUCUCCUCGAGCUUGGCCUUGGCGGACUUGGCGGCGGUGAGCUUCUUGUCCUUGGUGGUGAGGGAGUCGGGGGCGCCGGAGGCCACCUCCUUGAGGUCGACGUCGAGGGUGUAGCGGGUGGGCAUGAGGUGGGUGAAGUUGACGAGCUUGAGGAAGACCUUGACGCGCGACUUCUUGGCCGUCUUCUUCGCCGAGUCCUUGCGGAUCACCUUCUUGGG